GAUGAACGCUGGCGGCGUGCCUAAUACAUGCAAGUCGAGCGAACAGACGAGGAGCUUGCUCCUCUGACGUUAGCGGCGGACGGGUGAGUAACACGUGGAUAACCUACCUAUAAGACUGGGAUAACUUCGGGAAACCGGAGCUAAUACCGGAUAACAUGUUGAACCGCAUGGUUCAACAGUGAAAGACGGUCUUGCUGUCACUUAUAGAUGGAUCCGCGCCGCAUUAGCUAGUUGGUAAGGUAACGGCUUACCAAGGCAACGAUGCGUAGCCGACCUGAGAGGGUGAUCGGCCACACUGGAACUGAGACACGGUCCAGACUCCUACGGGAGGCAGCAGGAGGGAAUCUUCCGCAAUGGGCGAAAGCCUGACGGAGCAACGCCGCGUGAGUGAAGAAGGUCUUCGGAUCGUAAAACUCUGUUAUUAGGGAAGAACAAAUGUGUAAGUAACUAUGCACGUCUUGACGGUACCUAAGCAGAAAGCCACGGCUAACUACGU
This 496-nucleotide ribosomal RNA is filed under the name uncultured bacterium. RNAcentral describes it as "partial 16S ribosomal RNA". It matches the Rfam family "Bacterial small subunit ribosomal RNA", at positions 28 to 506 of the family's 1533-position model. The record is from RNAcentral.